GAUGAACGCUGGCGGCGUGCCUAAUACAUGCAAGUCGAGCGAACAGAUGAGGAGCUUGCUCCUCUGACGUUAGCGGCGGACGGGUGAGUAACACGUGGAUAACCUACCUAUAAGACUGGGAUAACUUCGGGAAACCGGAGCUAAUACCGGAUAAUAUAUUGAACCGCAUGGUUCAAUAGUGAAAGACGGUUUUGCUGUCACUUAUAGAUGGAUCCGCGCCGCAUUAGCUAGUUGGUAAGGUAACGGCUUACCAAGGCGACGAUGCGUAGCCGACCUGAGAGGGUGAUCGCCCACACUGGAACAGAGACACGGGCCAGACUCCUACGGGAGGCAGCAGUAGGGAAUCUUCCGCAAUGGGCGAAAGCCUGACGGAGCAACGCCGCGUGAGUGAUGAAGGUCUCCGGAUCGUAAAACUCUGUUAUUAGGGAAGAACAAAUGUGUAAGUAACUAUGCACGUCUUGACGGUACCUAAUCAGAAAGCCACGGCUAACUACGUG
RNAcentral lists this ribosomal RNA (497 nucleotides) under uncultured bacterium. Its description in RNAcentral is "partial 16S ribosomal RNA". It matches the Rfam family "Bacterial small subunit ribosomal RNA", at positions 28 to 507 of the family's 1533-position model. The record is from RNAcentral.